RNAcentral lists this ribosomal RNA (115 nucleotides) under Albidovulum sediminis. The record is from RNAcentral. Lineage: Bacteria; Pseudomonadati; Pseudomonadota; Alphaproteobacteria; Rhodobacterales; Paracoccaceae.
UUUGGUGGUCAUAGCCCAGGCAAAACACCCGAUCCCUUCCCGAACUCGGAAGUUAAGUGCCGCAGCGCCAAUGGUACUGCGUCUCAAGACGUGGGAGAGUAGGUCACCGCCAAAC